RNAcentral lists this ribosomal RNA (760 nucleotides) under uncultured Laccaria. Its description in RNAcentral is "partial 28S ribosomal RNA". It matches the Rfam family "Eukaryotic large subunit ribosomal RNA", at positions 216 to 962 of the family's 3401-position model. Lineage: Eukaryota; Fungi; Basidiomycota; Agaricomycetes; Agaricales; Tricholomataceae. The record is from RNAcentral.
GAAUCCCGUCUUUGACACGGACUGCCAGGGCUUUGUGAUGUGCUCUCGAAGAGUCGAGUUGUUUGGGAAUGCAGCUCAAAAUGGGUGGUAAAUUCCAUCUAAAGCUAAAUAUUGGCGAGAGACCGAUAGCGAACAAGUACCGUGAGGGAAAGAUGAAAAGAACUUUGGAAAGAGAGUUAAACAGUACGUGAAAUUGCUGAAAGGGAAACGCUUGAAGUCAGUCGCGUUGGCCAGGGAUCAACCUUGCUUUUUUGCUUGGCUUACUUUCUGGUCGAUGGGUCAGCAUCAAUUUUGACCGGUGGAAAAAGUUCAAGGGAAUGUGGCAUCUUCGGAUGUGUUAUAGCCUUUGUUCGCAUACAUUGGUUGGGAUUGAGGAACUCAGCACGCCGCAAGGCCGGGUUUUUAACCACGUACGUGCUUAGGAUGCUGGCAUAAUGGCUUUAAUCGACCCGUCUUGAAACACGGACCAAGGAGUCUAACAUGCCUGCGAGUGUUUGGGUGAAAAACCCGAGCGCGUAAUGAAAGUGAAAGUUGAGAUCCCUGUCGUAGGGAGCAUUGACGCCCGGAUCUGACCUUUUGUGACGAUUCUGCGGUAGAGCAUGUAUGUUGGGACCCGAAAGAUGGUGAACUAUGCCUGAAUAGGGUGAAGCCAGAGGAAACUCUGGUGGAGGCUCGUAGCGAUUCUGACGUGCAAAUCGAUCGUCAAAUUUGGGUAUAGGGGCGAAAGACUAAUCGAACCAUCUAGUAGCUGGUUCCUGCC